ACGGGAGGCAGCAGUGAGGAAUAUUGGUCAAUGGGCGGAAGCCUGAACCAGCCAUGUCGCGUGCAGGACUACGGCCCUACGGGUCUUAAACUUCUUUUAUAGGGGGAUAAAGUGAGAUAUGUAUAUCUUUUUGUAGGUACCCUAUGAAUAAGCAUCGGCUAACUCCGUGCCAGCAGCCGCGGUAAUACGGAGGAUGCGAGCGUUAUCCGGAUUUAUUGGGUUUAAAGGGUACGCAGGCGGCACGUUAAGUCAGCGGUGAAAUGUCGGGGCUCAACCCGGGCACUGCCGUUGAAACUGGCGAGCUUGAGUACGGAUGAAGUCGGCGGAAUGUGAUGUGUAGCGGUGAAAUGCUUAGAUAUGUCACAGAACACCGAUUGCGAAGGCAGCUGACUAAUCCGCAACUGACGCUCGGGCACGAAAGCGUGGGGAUCGAACAGGAUUAGAUACCCUGGUA
RNAcentral lists this ribosomal RNA (454 nucleotides) under uncultured Porphyromonas sp. RNAcentral describes it as "partial 16S ribosomal RNA". It matches the Rfam family "Bacterial small subunit ribosomal RNA", at positions 341 to 792 of the family's 1533-position model. The record is from RNAcentral. Lineage: Bacteria; Pseudomonadati; Bacteroidota; Bacteroidia; Bacteroidales; Porphyromonadaceae.